GGCGCUUCAUUCCCACUGGAAUAUCCUGCUAUUCCCUUUCGCAGUCAGCCGACCGUUCAUUCAUUGAAAUAUCUGCACAUCUGCAACAAGAGAUACAUCCUCUAUAAGUGCAUGGGGAAAACAAAUGAAGAGAAAACUGUUUUUCCUCUAUAAGAAAGUCUAAAAAAGCCUGGAGGGUGAACAAAACUGUUAUCUAGCUUCCUCAUAAAACGGUUUGGUGGAGUAAGGAAAUCCCAUCAUCCUCUGGAUGUCCCAUUAUCUAAAGUCCAGGCUGGUGUAAAUUGGAUUGUGUGCUACAGUGGGGGCGGGGAGACUGGAUGAGGUCAUGGAGCUACAAUCCACCCCCCACCACAACCAUCAACAUUGUCCCAUCACAUCCUCCUCCUCCUCCUCCUUCUCCUCCUGCCUGCUCCAUGUGUUCACCAAGCAUCGGCUUCAGACCUAAAGGGGGGUCAUGGGGAUCAAAAACAAGUCCCAAUCUGUUUCUGAGGGGAAACCUGAGGGUGUGUGAUUGCAAACACCUUGGAGGUCCCUGCAGUCCAAUUUAAAUCAUUUAUAGCGGUGAAGCUGUAAACUUGAAGACAGGAUCGAUUUCAUGAGUCAGCCAACACAAAGGCCUUUCAAAUAUGUUUCUGUGGAAAAGAAGUUCUUCAGAGUAAAAAAAAAUACCCUGGACUCCUCUACCUGUUUAAUGUCUUCUUCUUACUGCAUUAAAC
Sebastes umbrosus (honeycomb rockfish) is the source of this 716-nucleotide long non-coding RNA. RefSeq lists it as uncharacterized. NCBI's taxonomy places the organism in Eukaryota, Metazoa, Chordata, Actinopteri, Perciformes, Sebastidae. The transcript has 4 exons. The record is from RefSeq and is a predicted model, not a curated record.